This 1084-nucleotide ribosomal RNA is filed under the name uncultured bacterium. RNAcentral describes it as "bacterial SSU rRNA". It matches the Rfam family "Bacterial small subunit ribosomal RNA", at positions 448 to 1533 of the family's 1533-position model. The record is from RNAcentral.
AGUAACUGUUGACAUCGUGACGGUAUCCAACCAGAAAGCCACGGCUAACUACGUGCCAGCAGCCGCGGUAAUACGUAGGUGGCAAGCGUUGUCCGGAUUUAUUGGGCGUAAAGCGAGCGCAGGCGGUUUUUUAGGUCUGAUGUGAAAGCCUUCGGCUUAACCGGAGAAGUGCAUCGGAAACCGGGAGACUUGAGUGCAGAAGAGGACAGUGGAACUCCAUGUGUAGCGGUGAAAUGCGUAGAUAUAUGGAAGAACACCAGUGGCGAAGGCGGCUGUCUGGUCUGCAACUGACGCUGAGGCUCGAAAGCAUGGGUAGCGAACAGGAUUAGAUACCCUGGUAGUCCACGCCGUAAACGAUGAGUGCUAAGUGUUGGAGGGUUUCCGCCCUUCAGUGCUGCAGCUAACGCAUUAAGCACUCCGCCUGGGGAGUACGACCGCAAGGUUGAAACUCAAAGGAAUUGACGGGGGCCCGCACAAGCGGUGGAGCAUGUGGUUUAAUUCGAUGCUACGCGAAGAACCUUACCAGGUCUUGACAUCUUCUGCUAACCUAAGAGAUUAGGCGUUCCCUUCGGGGACGGAAUGACAGGUGGUGCAUGGUUGUCGUCAGCUCGUGUCGUGAGAUGUUGGGUUAAGUCCCGCAACGAGCGCAACCCUUAUUGUCAGUUGCCAGCAUUUAGUUGGGCACUCUGGCGAGACUGCCGGUGACAAACCGGAGGAAGGUGGGGAUGACGUCAAAUCAUCAUGCCCCUUAUGACCUGGGCUACACACGUGCUACAAUGGACGGUACAACGAGUCGCGAAACCGCGAGGUCAAGCUAAUCUCUUAAAGCCGUUCUCAGUUCGGAUUGCAGGCUGCAACUCGCCUGCAUGAAGUUGGAAUCGCUAGUAAUCGUGGAUCAGCAUGCCGCGGUGAAUACGUUCCCGGGCCUUGUACACACCGCCCGUCACACCAUGAGAGUUUGUAACACCCAAAGCCGGUGAGGUAACCUUCGGGGGCCAGCCGUCUAAGGUGGGACAGAUGAUUAGGGUGAAGUCGUAACAAGGUAGCCGUAGGAGAACCUGCGGCUGGAUCACCUCCUUUCUAA